GACGAACGCUGGCGGCGUGCUUAACACAUGCAAGUCGAACGGAAAGGCCCUGCUUUUGUGGGGUGCUCGAGUGGCGAACGGGUGAGUAACACGUGAGUAACCUGCCCUUGACUUUGGGAUAACUUCAGGAAACUGGGGCUACUACCGGAUAGUAGCUCCUGCUGCAUGGUGGGGGUUGGAAAGUUUCGGCGGUUGGGGAUGGACUCGCGGCUUAUCCGCUUGUUGGUGGGGUAGUGGCUUACCAUGGCUUUGCCGGGGAGCCGGCCUGAGAGGGUGAACGGGCACACGGGGACUGAGAUACGGCCCAGACUGCUACGGGGGGCAGCAGUGGGGGAUAGUGCACAAUGGGCGGAAGCCUGAUGCAGCGACGCCGCGUGGGGGAUGACGGCUUGCGGGUGGUAAACCUCUUUCGGCGGGGGACAAGGCUCUGCUUGGUGGUGGGGUUGAGGGUACCCGGUGAAGAAGCGCCGGCUAACUACGUG
This 482-nucleotide ribosomal RNA is filed under the name uncultured bacterium. RNAcentral's name for it is "partial 16S ribosomal RNA". It matches the Rfam family "Bacterial small subunit ribosomal RNA", at positions 28 to 507 of the family's 1533-position model. The record is from RNAcentral.